CCCCUCUGCUGUGAACUUGUCCUUUCAGACACAAGGCGAUAACGACACCACUGUGCUCUGAAACCCGUUAUCUCUAAUGGCUUGCAGCGCACCACGACCUCUUUCCUGUGAUGCUGUGAUAUGCGCUGCAGUCACAUGAAGUUGCAGAAAGGCUGGUCGUGCAAAUGCUGCCGCCUACAGUUUAGUAGUUAAAUUACAUUUUGAGAACAUUGUUCCCACCUUUGUUGAACUUACAGUACAGUAC
Long non-coding RNA from Sebastes umbrosus (honeycomb rockfish), 244 nucleotides. RefSeq lists it as uncharacterized. NCBI's taxonomy places the organism in Eukaryota, Metazoa, Chordata, Actinopteri, Perciformes, Sebastidae. The record is from RefSeq and is a predicted model, not a curated record. The transcript is spliced from 3 exons.